This 77-nucleotide transfer RNA is filed under the name Hyphomicrobiales bacterium. RNAcentral's name for it is "Rhizobiales bacterium (bioreactor metagenome) tRNA-Met". It matches the Rfam family "tRNA". Rfam says of the family: Transfer RNA (tRNA) molecules are approximately 80 nucleotides in length. Their secondary structure includes four short double-helical elements and three loops (D, anti-codon, and T loops). Further hydrogen bonds mediate the characteristic L-shaped molecular structure. tRNAs have two regions of fundamental functional importance: the anti-codon, which is responsible for specific mRNA codon recognition, and the 3' end, to which the tRNAs corresponding amino acid is attached (by aminoacyl-tRNA synthetases). tRNAs cope with the degeneracy of the genetic code in two manners: having more than one tRNA (with a specific anti-codon) for a particular amino acid; and 'wobble' base-pairing, i.e. permitting non-standard base-pairing at the 3rd anti-codon position. The record is from RNAcentral. Lineage: Bacteria; Pseudomonadati; Pseudomonadota; Alphaproteobacteria; Hyphomicrobiales.
CAUGGAGUGGAGCAGCCCGGUAGCUCGUCAAGCUCAUAACCCGAAGGUGGUCAGUUCAAAUCUGGCCUCCGCAACCA